Molecule: unclassified non-coding RNA, 238 nt
Filed under: Hevea brasiliensis (rubber tree)
Lineage: Eukaryota; Viridiplantae; Streptophyta; Magnoliopsida; Malpighiales; Euphorbiaceae
Source: RNAcentral
AACAAAACUGUUGUCCAUUAGCAUCACACUUGUAUACUAGCACCACUGCAAACUAUUCUAUUACAUGAUCUGGAGUUGCUAGUUACUACUUGAAUGACUCACUAAAUGCAAUUUUAAGCAUUCCAAGUAGAAAGCUCUACUCUGGGGUCUGCCCGAACUUCUCACAUCAUCUUCUCAACCAACACGAAUGCAACUACAGAUACUCAUCUCAUUACCCUACUCAGUACUCGCAUAUAAG